Molecule: ribosomal RNA, 253 nt
Filed under: uncultured bacterium
Lineage: Bacteria
Description: partial 16S ribosomal RNA
Rfam family: Bacterial small subunit ribosomal RNA
Source: RNAcentral
UACGAGGGGUGCAAGCGUUAUUCGGAAUUAUUGGGCGUAAAGGGUGCGUAGGCGGCAUAUUAAGUCAACUGUUAAAUUCCUCGGCCUAACCGAGGCUCUGCGGUAGAUACUGAUGUGCUAGAGGGUGGAAGAGAGAAGUGGAAUUCUCGGAGUAGCGGUAAAAUGCGUAGAUCUCGAGAGGAACACCGAUGGCGAAGGCAGCUUCUUGGUCCACACCUGACGCUGAGGCACGAAAGCGUGGGGAGCAAACAGG